UGGGCCCGGGGGGAUCCGCAAUUCAUGCCCAGGGCAGCGAGGGGCGGGGCGGAGGCAGAGCGCCCGGGUGUCCCGGCAGGACAGACGCGUCUCCGCGGAACACGGCGCUCCCCCAUCCCCGCAUUCACACCCGCCUUGCAGCGAGGCUUGGGGCGCUCCCCGCCCCCCCGCAGUGUUUCCAAUCCAACACUUGAAAGUCACGCCCGCCCCACCUUGGUGCUCAGGGCCCCGAUCAGCCAACUCGUAAGAACCAAACUGCCUGGGGACACUUGCCCAAACCAAGCCCUGCCUCGCCCGAGGAGGAAUGUGCCAAUGCAUAAAUUCGGUGACAAUGUGGAUACCAGAAAUGUCAUUGCAUCAAGCUUUUUAAAAGAAAUUACAACACACCAAGGUUCACGAUGCCACAUCACCCACUAAUGGAAUUACAACUGAAGCAAUGUGCUACUGGUGCCUUUUAUUUGCACACAUAGGAAAAUCUCAAUUUGCCAAAGUAAUUUAUAAUCUCCUAGCUCAGCAUUUCCUCUAUGGUCCCAGAGCUGAUGACAAGUGUAUUUAGCAGGCUUCGCUGUCGUGUGUGGCACGUAUGCUCUGGAGUUGGUUUGUGUUCAUUAAGUUGCAUUGUUGCGUUAAAGUAAUAUGAGAGACUAUUUCUGAAUAUUACAAAUGUUCUGUCAAACUGAACAUGUAUAGACUCUAAUAUCUUGUCUAGAGGGCAAUGUGUUUGAAAUCAAUUUUAAGAGGCAAAAUUUCCUCAACAGCUGUCAUGUUUGAGUUGUGAUCUAACAUUUACUAUAAAACAUGUCAACUUCUGUUUUCAAGCUAUACAGAUGUUUGAAGUGCCACAGCUGGGAGGGACUUGCAGGGUGCAAGUACUACUCACCAAUCUUUGCUCCCUGGAAACCCGUGGAGUUCAUUCUCCAGGGGAUCCACUCUGGUUUGAGCCAUGGAGGGAUGUGUCAGGAGGCACGGCGUUUGAUUUACUCAUGACUACCACGUUUCCUCCUCCUCUCUGAUUACUAGCACAAGCAUUCUGCAUAGGAAACUGUGCAGGGUUUGUGUGGGGUCCCAUGACGGACCAUACACAAACAAAAUAAUUCAGCCUUUGCAAUACUAGUUUGCUUCUCUUUUAGAAGCAAAAGCAAACAGGGACAGACUUGGCCCAUAAAAGGGACAGGAGACAGGCCCAGCGCAAAGCAAAAUAAUGAUAUGUUCUGCAACAAGAAGGAAUGUGGGAUAAUAACUACAAGGAACCAGCAAGCAAAGCACCCGAGGCCUGAGGCAGCAUGAGGAGGUGUCUGUAACAAUCAUGAGAGAGCAGCCCGGAGCCUUAACUUGUAAUGACUAUGUAGCCCACAUAUCAAAAGGCUCUCCCACCAACACACACAGCUACAAAUACAAUGAAGCCCUUUGAAAUGAAUACUGAAUAAAG
Molecule: long non-coding RNA, 1429 nt
Organism: Terrapene triunguis (Three-toed box turtle)
Lineage: Eukaryota; Metazoa; Chordata; Testudines; Emydidae
Exons: 3
Source: RefSeq, a predicted model, not a curated record